CCGCAUAAGCGCACAGCAUCGCAUGAUGCAGUGUGGAAAACUCCGGUGGUAUAAGAUGGACCCGCGUUGGAUUAGCUAGUUGGUGAGGUAACGGCCCACCAAGGCGACGAUCCAUAGCCGACCUGAGAGGGUGACCGGCCACAUUGGGACUGAGACACGGCCCAAACUCCUACGGGAGGCAGCAGUGGGGAAUAUUGCACAAUGGGCGAAAGCCUGAUGCAGCGACGCCGCGUGAGCGAAGAAGUAUUUCGGUAUGUAAAGCUCUAUCAGCAGGGAAGAUAAUGACGGUACCUGACUAAGAAGCACCGGCUAAAUACGUGCCAGCAGCCGCGGUAAUACGUAUGGUGCAAGCGUUAUCCGGAUUUACUGGGUGUAAAGGGAGCGCAGGCGGUGCGGCAAGUCUGAUGUGAAAGCCCGGGGCUCAACCCCGGUACUGCAUUGGAAACUGUCGUACUAGAGUGUCGGAGGGGUAAGCGGAAUUCCUAGUGUAGCGGUGAAAUGCGUAGAUAUUAGGAGGAACACCAGUGGCGAAGGCGGCUUACUGGACGAUAACUGACGCUGAGGCUCGAAAGCGUGGGGAGCAAACAGGAUUAGAUACCCUGGUAGUCCACGCCGU
Molecule: ribosomal RNA, 616 nt
Filed under: uncultured bacterium
Lineage: Bacteria
Description: bacterial SSU rRNA
Rfam family: Bacterial small subunit ribosomal RNA
Source: RNAcentral